GGGAAGAUCUAACCUACAGAUGUAAACGGGUAGGGUACGUGAAAAUCGGACUCAAACAAAGCAUAUCCUAAACUCUAACAAAGUCGUCCCAUCACUCCGCCUACCAGUAUAGCCGCGCGCCUCCCCUCCCGCCGAUCGUCCCUCUGCACUUCACACUGGUGAAGGUCGUUGCUGCGUCCGCUGGUCCUGGUUACUUCUUCUCUCUCCUCCUCCGCUUCCUCUCGUCCUCGUCGCUGCGUCCGGUGGUCCAUUCCUUCUGCCGUCAGGUGCUGCUCCUCGCCGGUGGUCCUUGUCAUCAAUCACGCCGCCGCCACUCCUCGCCGCCACGUCAGUCGCUGCAGCUGGGCCUUUCCCAAUUUUCACACUUGUCUUCCAUUUGGGGGCCCUUACAAGGCAUCAAUACCGCUGAAUCAUGCUACGAGUCCUGAAGCUGAUGUUCUACUUGCUUAUGAGAUGAAUGGGGAGCCUCUAAAGAGAGAUCAUGGUUAUCCGCUGCGAGUGGUUGUUCCUGGUGUUAUAGGUGCACGUUCUGUCAAAUGGUUGGAUUCCAUUAACAUAAUUGCAGAAGAAUAUCAGGUAAAGAAGAACACUCUAUUUUUUAUUUUUAUUUUUUAGUUGUGGCUUCUUUCCACAGCUUAACGGCUGCAUGUCCCAGGGCAUGGAUAGAGUGAUCUGUGCUGUGAAAAUAACUACACUAUAUCUUAAAUAAAAUAACUACACUAUAUCUUAAAUUAACCAUGUAACAUUGCAUUAUAAUAUUCUUUACCUUCCUCAAGACUUAGAAGGUAAUAAUUUUCUCUU
Manihot esculenta (cassava) is the source of this 801-nucleotide RNA transcript. RefSeq lists it as uncharacterized. The record is from RefSeq and is a predicted model, not a curated record. NCBI's taxonomy places the organism in Eukaryota, Viridiplantae, Streptophyta, Magnoliopsida, Malpighiales, Euphorbiaceae. The transcript is spliced from 3 exons.